Molecule: ribosomal RNA, 1010 nt
Filed under: Paraburkholderia sediminicola
Lineage: Bacteria; Pseudomonadati; Pseudomonadota; Betaproteobacteria; Burkholderiales; Burkholderiaceae
Description: bacterial SSU rRNA
Rfam family: Bacterial small subunit ribosomal RNA
Source: RNAcentral
AGUCGAACGGCAGCACGGGAGCAAUCCUGGUGGCGAGUGGCGAACGGGUGAGUAAUACAUCGGAACGUGUCCUGUAGUGGGGGAUAGCCCGGCGAAAGCCGGAUUAAUACCGCAUACGCUCUGCGGAGGAAAGCGGGGGAUCCUUCGGGACCUCGCGCUACAGGGGCGGCCGAUGGCAGAUUAGCUAGUUGGUGGGGUAAAGGCCUACCAAGGCGACGAUCUGUAGCUGGUCUGAGAGGACGACCAGCCACACUGGGACUGAGACACGGCCCAGACUCCUACGGGAGGCAGCAGUGGGGAAUUUUGGACAAUGGGCGCAAGCCUGAUCCAGCAAUGCCGCGUGUGUGAAGAAGGCCUUCGGGUUGUAAAGCACUUUUGUCCGGAAAGAAAACCUCCGCCCUAAUAUGGUGGGGGGAUGACGGUACCGGAAGAAUAAGCACCGGCUAACUACGUGCCAGCAGCCGCGGUAAUACGUAGGGUGCAAGCGUUAAUCGGAAUUACUGGGCGUAAAGCGUGCGCAGGCGGUCCGCUAAGACAGAUGUGAAAUCCCCGGGCUUAACCUGGGAACUGCAUUUGUGACUGGCGGGCUAGAGUAUGGCAGAGGGGGGGUAGAAUUCCACGUGUAGCAGUGAAAUGCGUAGAGAUGUGGAGGAAUACCGAUGGCGAAGGCAGCCCCCUGGGCCAAUACUGACGCUCAUGCACGAAAGCGUGGGGAGCAAACAGGAUUAGAUACCCUGGUAGUCCACGCCCUAAACGAUGUCAACUAGUUGUCGGGUCUUCAUUGACUUGGUAACGUAGCUAACGCGUGAAGUUGACCGCCUGGGGAGUACGGUCGCAAGAUUAAAACUCAAAGGAAUUGACGGGGACCCGCACAAGCGGUGGAUGAUGUGGAUUAAUUCGAUGCAACGCGAAAAACCUUACCUACCCUUGACAUGUAUGGAAUCCUGCCGAGAGGGGGGAGUGCCCGAAAGGGAGCCAUAACACAGGUGCUGCAUGGCUGUCGUCAGCUC